This 101-nucleotide transfer RNA is filed under the name Felis catus (domestic cat). It matches the Rfam family "tRNA". From Rfam's summary of the family: Transfer RNA (tRNA) molecules are approximately 80 nucleotides in length. Their secondary structure includes four short double-helical elements and three loops (D, anti-codon, and T loops). The record is from Rfam by way of RNAcentral. Lineage: Eukaryota; Metazoa; Chordata; Mammalia; Carnivora; Felidae.
GCCUGGGUGGCUCAGUUGGUUGAGCGUCCGACUUUGGCCCAGGUCAUGAUCCUGCACUUUGUGGUUUCGGGCCCUUGUGGGUUCGAGCCCUGCACCGGGCU